Molecule: ribosomal RNA, 253 nt
Filed under: uncultured bacterium
Lineage: Bacteria
Description: partial 16S ribosomal RNA
Rfam family: Bacterial small subunit ribosomal RNA
Source: RNAcentral
UACGUAGGGGGCAAGCGUUGUCCGGAUUUAUUGGGCGUAAAGAGCGUGUAGGCGGCUUUAUAGGUCCGUUGUGAAAACUCGAGGCUCAACCUCGAGACGCCGGUGGAAACCGUAAGGCUAGAGUCCGGAAGAGGAGAGUGGAAUUCCUGGUGUAGCGGUGAAAUGCGCAGAUAUCAGGAAGAACACCCGUGGCGAAGGCGGCUCUCUGGGACGGUACUGACGCUGAGGCACGAAAGCGUGGGGAUCAAACAGG